This 330-nucleotide ribosomal RNA is filed under the name uncultured eukaryote. RNAcentral's name for it is "partial 18S ribosomal RNA". It matches the Rfam family "Eukaryotic small subunit ribosomal RNA", at positions 1470 to 1796 of the family's 1831-position model. The record is from RNAcentral.
CCCUUAGAUGUUCUGGGCCGCACGCGCGCUACACUGAUGCAUUCAACGAGUCUAAAACCUGGUCUGAUAGGGCUGGGUAAUCUUUUGAAUGUGCAUCGUGAUUGGGAUAGAUGAUUGCAAUUCUUCAUCUUCAACGAGGAAUGCCUAGUAAACGCAAGUCAUCAGCUUGCAUUGAUUACGUCCCUGCCCUUUGUACACACCGCCCGUCGCUCCUACCGAUUGAAUGUUCCGAUGAAUACCAUGGACUGAGAGUAUGAAUGGGUUCGCCUAUUUCUGCUUCUCGAGAAGUGAAGUAAAUCUUAUCAUUUAGAGGAAGGAGAAGUCGUAACA